This 253-nucleotide ribosomal RNA is filed under the name uncultured bacterium. Its description in RNAcentral is "partial 16S ribosomal RNA". It matches the Rfam family "Bacterial small subunit ribosomal RNA", at positions 524 to 776 of the family's 1533-position model. The record is from RNAcentral.
GACGAAGGGGGCUAGCGUUGUUCGGAAUUACUGGGCGUAAAGCGCGUGUAGGUGGUUGUCGUAGUCAGGUGUGAAAGCCUUGAGCUCAACUCAAGAAAUGCACUUGAUACUCGGCGGCUAGAGGACCGGAGAGGAUAGUGGAAUUCCCAGUGUAGUGGUGAAAUACGUAGAGAUUGGGAAGAACACCAGUGGCGAAGGCGGCUAUCUGGACGGUUUCUGACACUAAGACUCGAAAGCGUGGGGAGCAAACAGG